Molecule: transfer RNA, 72 nt
Filed under: Fulmarus glacialis (Northern fulmar)
Lineage: Eukaryota; Metazoa; Chordata; Aves; Procellariiformes; Procellariidae
Rfam family: tRNA
About the family: Transfer RNA (tRNA) molecules are approximately 80 nucleotides in length. Their secondary structure includes four short double-helical elements and three loops (D, anti-codon, and T loops).
Source: Rfam by way of RNAcentral
UCCCUGAUGGUCUAGUAGUUAGGAUUCGGCACUCUCAUCGCCAUGGCCUGGGUUCAAUUCCCCGUCAGGGAA